Long non-coding RNA from Sapajus apella (tufted capuchin), 234 nucleotides. RefSeq lists it as uncharacterized. NCBI's taxonomy places the organism in Eukaryota, Metazoa, Chordata, Mammalia, Primates, Cebidae. The transcript is spliced from 3 exons. The record is from RefSeq and is a predicted model, not a curated record.
CAGUUGUCCCUCAAUAGGGUAGACUCCAGCCCCCACUUCCAUACCAAAUUCUUGUUUGUUCAAGCCCAUGAUAUAAAAUGGCAUAGUAUUUGCAUUGAUCCUAUGCACAUCCUCCUGUAUAUGUUAAAUCACCUCUAGACUACCUAUAAUGCUUAAUACAAUGUAAAUGCUAUGUAAAUAGUUGUUAUAAUGUAUUAUUCAGGGAAUAAUGACAAGAAAACAAAAGUCUAUGCA